Molecule: ribosomal RNA, 841 nt
Filed under: uncultured bacterium
Lineage: Bacteria
Description: bacterial SSU rRNA
Rfam family: Bacterial small subunit ribosomal RNA
Source: RNAcentral
GACGAACGCUUGCGGCGUGCCUAAGAAAUGCAAGUCGAACGGACACUCCAGCAAUGGGGUGUUAGUGGCGAACGGUCGCGUAACACGUAGGCAACCUGCCCUGAAGUGGGGGACAACAGCCCGAAAGGGCUGCUAAUACCGCAUGGGAACAAUAGAUCGCAUGGUUUGUUGUUCAAAGGCUUCCUGCAAGGGAAGUCGCUUUAGGAUGGGCUUGCGGCCUAUCAGGUAGUUGGUGGGGUAAUGGCUCACCAAGCCGACGACGGGUAGCUGGUCUGAGAGGACGAUCAGCCGGAUUGGGACUGAGAUACGGCCCAGACUCCUACGGGGGGCAGCAAUUAGGAAUCUUGCGCAAUGGGCGAAAGCCUGACGCAGCGACGCCGCGUGCGGGAUGAAGGCCUUCGGGUCGUAAACCGCUUUUAACGGGGAAGAAGAAUGUGACGGUACCCGUUGAAUAAGCCCCGGCUAACUACGUGCCAGCAGCCGCGGUAAUACGUAGGGGGCGAGCGUUGUCCGAAGUUACUGGGCGUAAAGCGCGCGUAGGCGGUUGCCUAAGUCUGGGGUGAAAGGUUCAGGGCUUAACCCGAACAGUGCCUUGGAUACUGGGCGACUUGAGUGCCGAAGAGGAAAGCGGAAUUCCUGGUGUAGCGGUGAAAUGCGUAGAUAUCAGGAGGAACACCGAUGGCGAAGGCAGCUUUCUGGUCGGCAACUGACGCUGAGGUGCGAAAGCGUGGGGAGCGAACGGGAUUAGAUACCCCGGUAGUCCACGCCGUAAACGAUGAGUGCUAGGUGUCGGGGGUAUCGACCCCUCCGGUGCCGCCGCUAACGCAUUAAGCACUCCGCC